GGGAAUGUGGUUCAGUGGUAGAACACUUGCCUAGCAUUCAUGAAGCUCUGGCUUUAAUCCCUAGCAUUCCAC
This 72-nucleotide transfer RNA is filed under the name Cricetulus griseus (Chinese hamster). It matches the Rfam family "tRNA". Rfam says of the family: Transfer RNA (tRNA) molecules are approximately 80 nucleotides in length. Lineage: Eukaryota; Metazoa; Chordata; Mammalia; Rodentia; Cricetidae. The record is from Rfam by way of RNAcentral.